RNAcentral lists this ribosomal RNA (334 nucleotides) under uncultured eukaryote. RNAcentral describes it as "partial 18S ribosomal RNA". It matches the Rfam family "Eukaryotic small subunit ribosomal RNA", at positions 1470 to 1796 of the family's 1831-position model. The record is from RNAcentral.
CCCUUAGAUGUCCGGGGCCGCACGCGCGCUACACUGAAGGAAUCAGCGUGGCUUUCUCCCUGACCCGAAAGGGUUGGGAAACCCGUUGAAUCUCCUUCGUGAUAGGGAUUGGGGCUUGAAAUUGUUCCCCAUGAACGAGGAAUUCCCAGUAAGCGCAAGUCAUCAGCUUGCGUUGAUUACGUCCCUGCCCUUUGUACACACCGCCCGUCGCUACUACCGAUUGAACGGUUUAGUGAGGGCCUCGGAUUGGUCUCGGCCCGCUCUUUACCGGGCGGCGCCGUUGGUCGAGAAGACGCUCGAACUUGAUCGUUUAGAGGAAGUAAAAGUCGUAACA